This 492-nucleotide ribosomal RNA is filed under the name uncultured bacterium. RNAcentral's name for it is "partial 16S ribosomal RNA". It matches the Rfam family "Bacterial small subunit ribosomal RNA", at positions 29 to 507 of the family's 1533-position model. The record is from RNAcentral.
AGUGAACGCUGGCGGUAGGCCUAACACAUGCAAGUCGAACGGCAGCACAGUAAGAGCUUGCUCUUACGGGUGGCGAGUGGCGGACGGGUGAGGAAUACAUCGGCAUCUACUUUUUCGUGGGGGAUAACGUAGGGAAACUUACGCUAAUACCGCAUACGACCUACGGGUGAAAGCAGGGGAUCUUCGGACCUUGCGCGAUUGAAUGAGCCGAUGUCGGAUUAGCUAGUUGGCGGGGUAAAGGCCCACCAAGGCGACGAUCCGUAGCUGGUCUGAGAGGAUGAUCAGCCACACUGGAACUGAGACACGGUCCAGACUCCUACGGGAGGCAGCAGUGGGGAAUAUUGGACAAUGGGCGCAAGCCUGAUCCAGCCAUACCGCGUGGGUGAAGAAGGCCUUCGGGUUGUAAAGCCCUUUUGUUGGGAAAGAAAAGCAGCAGGUGAAUACCCCGCUGUUCUGACGGUACCCAAAGAAUAAGCACCGGCUAACUUCGUG